UACGUAGGGGGCAAGCGUUGUCCGGAUUUAUUGGGCGUAAAGCGCUCGCAGGUGGUCCGUCGCGUCGUGCGUGAAAGACCCCGGCUCAACUGGGGAGGGUCGUGCGAUACGGGCAGGCUGGAGUUCGGUAGGGGAGACUGGAAUUCCUGGUGUAGCGGUGAAAUGCGCAGAUAUCAGGAGGAACACCGGUGGCGAAGGCGGGUCUCUGGGCCGAUACUGACGCUGAGGAGCGAAAGCGUGGGGAGCGAACGGG
Molecule: ribosomal RNA, 253 nt
Filed under: uncultured bacterium
Lineage: Bacteria
Description: partial 16S ribosomal RNA
Rfam family: Bacterial small subunit ribosomal RNA
Source: RNAcentral